GACGAACGCUGGCGGCGUGCCUAAUACAUGCAAGUCGAACGAAGCAGUUUUAACUGGUGCUUGCACCGACUUAAACAACUGAGUGGCGAACGGGUGAGUAACACGUGGGUAACCUGCCCCAAAGCGGGGGAUAACAUUUGGAAACAGAUGCUAAUACCGCAUAACCACAGAAACCACAGGGUUUCUGUGUCAAAGAUGGUUUCGGCUAUCAUGUUGGGAUGCAACAGCGGCGUAUUGGCUAGUUGGUAAGGUAAUGGCUUACCAAGGCAAUGAUACGUAGCCGAACUGAGAGGUUGAGCGGCCACAUUGGGACUGAGACACGGCCCAAACUCCUACGGGAGGCAGCAGUAGGGAAUCUUCCACAAUGGACGAAAGUCUGAUGGAGCAACGCCGCGUGAGUGAAGAAGGUUUUCGGAUCGUAAAACUCUGUUGUCAGAGAAGAACGUGUGCGAGAGUAACUGUUCGAGCAGUGACGGUAUCUGGCCAGAAAGCCACGGCUAUCUACGUGCCAGCAGCCGCAGUAA
This 524-nucleotide ribosomal RNA is filed under the name uncultured bacterium. RNAcentral's name for it is "partial 16S ribosomal RNA". It matches the Rfam family "Bacterial small subunit ribosomal RNA", at positions 28 to 523 of the family's 1533-position model. The record is from RNAcentral.